This is a long non-coding RNA of Rhododendron vialii, 691 nucleotides long. RefSeq lists it as uncharacterized. The record is from RefSeq and is a predicted model, not a curated record. Lineage: Eukaryota; Viridiplantae; Streptophyta; Magnoliopsida; Ericales; Ericaceae. The transcript is spliced from 2 exons.
GCUUUUACUCAAUUUUUUACUCUAAUUCAAUAAAAAUUUGGGUAAGGGCAAUUUGGUAUGAAGUACUUCAAUGGACAAAUCCGAAUGUAAGCACAAAUGUGAGUAAAAGCUACAUUAAUGGCAGAGUCGUAAAUUAUCAAAAGCAAACAACCCUUAAAUCUUUUUUGUGAUUCUAUGACUGAAAUUGUAAAGAAACAGAGUAUAGCAUUUUCGAUACAGAUGAUUUGAACUUAAUAAAUGGUCAUAUACAUACGUACCAGGGCGGAGGUGGUGGGGGCCGGCAUUGAUGAGGUUGAAGAGGCUGGCGCGGCCGUAGAAUUUGGCGAGGAAGAUGGUGGCAUUAGAUUGAGAAUCGGAGGAUUUGAUCCAGUGAAGGCAGGGUACUUUCUUUGACACCUAAGGGGUGUAUCAUCAAGAUAUGUGAGAGUUCCAUUGACAUCUUGCUUCAUUGUUCAAACAUGGCAGCAUUUACUCGUUCGACAUCUUCCAGUAACACCUUUUACUGUAAGUUAGUUUCUCUAGAACUUGAGAGUUUGUAACAAACCACAUAAUUAAUACCUUGUCUGUAUAGGAACUUUUUGGAAGGGUGUGAAACAAGUAUUUGCGUUAGAAUACAUAUUAAGUUUGGCCAAUAGUCCUCCAUGUAAAGUUUGUUUCUUAGAAACAGAACAUAGCAUCAGAACUAGGAAAA